Non-coding RNA from Cinara cedri, 226 nucleotides. Lineage: Eukaryota; Metazoa; Arthropoda; Insecta; Hemiptera; Aphididae. The record is from the annotation of a GenBank genome assembly.
ACAACGUCUCGAAAUUCGGAUCUCUUCUCUCCGUUAGCUGCGUAUAAGAUUUGGCAGCAUCCAGGACAUGGUCGAUGAUGAUAGGACAACACCUAACUGUAGCUAAAAUUGGUUUUCCAAAACCGACCUAUCGUCGUGCGAUUUAUCAAAGACGAAAACUUUCUUGAAAUCGUGGCUCUAAAUAUAAGGUCUCUGUUUUGAUACAAUUUUAUUGUUUUAUACAAUG